This 96-nucleotide non-coding RNA is filed under the name Enterococcus sp. RNAcentral's name for it is "THF-I sequence". It matches the Rfam family "THF (Tetrahydrofolate) riboswitch aptamer". From Rfam's summary of the family: THF riboswitch presents a pseudoknot that joins P1-P2 and the loop of P3 and two THF binding. Lineage: Bacteria; Bacillati; Bacillota; Bacilli; Lactobacillales; Enterococcaceae. RNAcentral also lists the same sequence under 1 other name. The record is from RNAcentral.
UACAGAGUAGAAGAUAAAGCGUUAAGUGCUACGGGGAUGGGAUGUCGCCCUGUGGACGAAGGAGAAAUCCGCGGUUUUAUUUUCGCAUUCGCUGCA